CAGAGUUCAUGCCCUUCGGGGUAGAUCUCCCACCCUUGUGUAUCAUUAUAGAAUGUUGCUUUGGCGGGCCGCGCCUCGUGCGCCUAGAUUCGCGUCUAGUGUGCCCGCCAGAGGACCCCUAAACUCUGAAUGUUAGUGUCGUCUGAGUACUAUUAAAUAGUUAAAACUUUCAACAACGGAUCUCUUGGUUCUGGCAUCGAUGAAGAACGCAGCGAAAUGCGAUAAGUAAUGUGAAUUGCAGAAUUCAGUGAAUCAUCGAAUCUUUGAACGCACAUUGCGCCCCCUGGUAUUCCGGGGGGCAUGCCUGUUCGAGCGUCAUUUAUACCAAUCUAGCCUGGCUAGGUGUUGGGCUUCGCCGUCUGGCGGGCCUUAAAACUAGUGGCGGUGCUCUGAAGCUCUACGCGUAGUAAUUUUCUCGCUAUAGGGUCUUGGGAGAUGCUUGCCAGCAACCCCAAAUUUUUUAG
RNAcentral lists this unclassified non-coding RNA (464 nucleotides) under uncultured Lachnum. Its description in RNAcentral is "sequence contains ITS1, 5.8S rRNA gene, ITS2". The stretch from base 165 to 318 matches the Rfam family "5.8S ribosomal RNA". The record is from RNAcentral. Lineage: Eukaryota; Fungi; Ascomycota; Leotiomycetes; Helotiales; Hyaloscyphaceae.